This 253-nucleotide ribosomal RNA is filed under the name uncultured bacterium. RNAcentral's name for it is "partial 16S ribosomal RNA". It matches the Rfam family "Bacterial small subunit ribosomal RNA", at positions 524 to 776 of the family's 1533-position model. The record is from RNAcentral.
UACGUAGGGUGCGAGCGUUGCCCGGAUUUAUUGGGCGUAAAGGGCGCGUAGGCGGCUCGGCACGUCCGUUGUGAAAUCGCCCGGCUCAACUGGGCGGGGUCGGCGGAUACGGCCGGGCUGGAGCAAGCUAGGGGGUAAUGGAAUUCCCGGUGUAGUGGUGGAAUGCGUAGAUAUCGGGAGGAACACCAGUGGCGAAGGCGGUUACCUGGAGCUUUGCUGACGCUGAUGCGCGAAAGCGUGGGGAGCGAUCCGG